UAACGGCGAGUGAAGCGGCAAGAGCUCAAAUUUGAAAUCUGGCUCCUUUGGAGUCCGAGUUGUAAUUUGUAGAGGGUGCUUUGGUGUCGGCCAUGGCCUAAGUUCCUUGGAACAGGACGUCACAGAGGGUGAGAACCCCGUACGUGGCUGCUGGCCUUCACCAUGUAAAGCCCCUUCGACGAGUCGAGUUGUUUGGGAAUGCAGCUCUAAAUGGGAGGUAAAUUUCUUCUAAAGCUAAAUAUUGGCCAGAGACCGAUAGCGCACAAGUAGAGUGAUCGAAAGAUGAAAAGCACUUUGGAAAGAGAGUCAAAAAGCACGUGAAAUUGUUGAAAGGGAAGCGCUUGCAGCCAGACUUGCUCGUAGUUGCUCAUCCGAGCUUUUGCUCGGUGCACUCUUCUGCGGGCAGGCCAGCAUCAGUCCGGGCGGUCGGAUAAAGGCUCUGGGAACGUAGCUCUCUUCGGGGAGUGUUAUAGCCCAGGGUGUCAUGCGACCAGUCUGGACUGAGGUCCGCGCAUCUGCUAGGAUGCUGGCGUAAUGGCUGUAAGCGGCCCGUCUUGAAACACGGACCAAGGAGUCUAACAUCUAUGCGAGUGUUUGGGUGUCAAGCCCGGGCGCGCAAUGAAAGUGAACGGAGGUGGGAACCCUUCGGGGUGCACCAUCGACCGAUCCUGAUGUCUUCGGAUGGAUUUGAGUAAGAGCAUAGCUGUUGGGACCCGAAAGAUGGUGAACUAUGCCUGAAUAGGGUGAAGCCAGAGGAAACUCUGGUGGAGGCUCGCAGCGGUUCUGACGUGCAAAUCGAUCGUCAAAUUUGGGCAUAGGGGCGAAAGACUAAUCGAACUAUCUAG
This 845-nucleotide ribosomal RNA is filed under the name Hermatomyces nabanheensis. Its description in RNAcentral is "eukaryotic LSU rRNA". It matches the Rfam family "Eukaryotic large subunit ribosomal RNA", at positions 84 to 947 of the family's 3401-position model. The record is from RNAcentral. Lineage: Eukaryota; Fungi; Ascomycota; Dothideomycetes; Pleosporales; Hermatomycetaceae.